CUUAGCAAGGCCCUGGGUCCGAAGGCGGCAGGCCUCUCCACUUACGAGGAGUGCAUGGCAAUUCUGCAGGCCGUUGACCAAUGGCGUCACUAUCUGCAGAUGGCUGAAUUCGUGACCAAAACAGACCAAAAAAGUUUAGUGCACCUCGAAGAGCAACGCUUGUCAACGGUCUGGCAACACAAGGCAUUCACCAAGUUGCUCGGCCUGCAAUACCGGAUCUGCUACAAGAAAGGAGAGGAUAACAAGGUGGCUGACGCCCUUUCUCGCCGCCACCAUGAUCGCCAAGAGGAUGUUCUAGCUAUCACAGAAUGCAAGCCCGCAUGGUCGACAGAGGUACAACAAGGGUACGCAGAGGAUGCCCAAUGCCAGAAACUUCUCGCCAGCUUGGCCACGGCACCACAACAAGGGGCCUUCACCCUGCAACAAGGGCUGCUGCGCUACAAAGGGAAACUGUGGCUGGGGCAGAACCGUGCGCUGCAGACCAAGGUCACCUCAGCCCUGCACGACGCAGCGGCAGGGGGGCAUUCAGGUUUUCCAGUCACCCUGGCGCGAGUCAAGCAACACUUCGCCUAG
RNAcentral lists this ribosomal RNA (573 nucleotides) under Triticum aestivum (bread wheat). RNAcentral's name for it is "partial small subunit ribosomal RNA". The record is from RNAcentral. Lineage: Eukaryota; Viridiplantae; Streptophyta; Magnoliopsida; Poales; Poaceae.